RNAcentral lists this unclassified non-coding RNA (200 nucleotides) under soil metagenome. RNAcentral describes it as "partial contains internal transcribed spacer 2 and large subunit ribosomal RNA". The record is from RNAcentral.
UGUUCGAGCGUCAUUAUAACCACUCAAGCCUGGCUUGGUAUUGGAGUUUGCGGUUCCGCAGCUCCUAAAAUCAGUGGCGGUGCCGGUGUGGCUCUACGCGUAGUAAUUCUUCUCGCGAUGGAGUUCCCCUGGUUGCUUGCCAGAACCCCCCAUUUUUACAGGUUGACCUCGGAUCAGGUAGGGAUACCCGCUGAACUUAA